UACGUAGGGUGCGAGCGUUAAUCGGAAUUACUGGGCGUAAAGCGUGCGCAGGCGGUUCGUUAAGUCGGCGGUGAAAUCCCCGGGCUUAACCUGGGAAUGGCCGUUGAAACUGGCGGGCUUGAGUGUGGCAGAGGGGGGUGGAAUUCCGCGUGUAGCAGUGAAAUGCGUAGAGAUGUGGAGGAACACCGAUGGCGAAGGCAGCCCCCUGGGCUAACACUGACGCUCAUGCACGAAAGCGUGGGGAGCAAACAGG
This 253-nucleotide ribosomal RNA is filed under the name uncultured bacterium. RNAcentral describes it as "partial 16S ribosomal RNA". It matches the Rfam family "Bacterial small subunit ribosomal RNA", at positions 524 to 776 of the family's 1533-position model. The record is from RNAcentral.